Long non-coding RNA from Spinacia oleracea (spinach), 942 nucleotides. RefSeq lists it as uncharacterized. NCBI's taxonomy places the organism in Eukaryota, Viridiplantae, Streptophyta, Magnoliopsida, Caryophyllales, Amaranthaceae. The record is from RefSeq and is a predicted model, not a curated record. The transcript has 2 exons.
UCCUAACCCCUAAGAGAAUAAUACUUGGUAUUAUUUUAUGCCUAGCAUAGUAGCAUACCAUACCCAGAUUCAAGAAUCAAAGGGUUGAUCUUUAGCCAAGCAGUCACAAAUCUAUAACCUUUUAAAAAGUGGGAAUGAAAAUUACUGUAGCUUAUCUACAGUAAAUUAAACGCAUCGUUUCCCUUUCCCACGUUAUUUGCACUUCUCUGGUAUCCUGAGUCUUAACUCUCUUCCCUUGAAUAUCUCCUUGUUUUUUCCGCUAUGGCUGGGGAGUGGUGACAGUAACAGCCAGCAAGCACUCAUCUUGAAUUUCUCUCUCCUCCCCAACGACGAAUUUGUAAAAUCUUUCUUCUGGUAUAGGAGGCCUUGAAUUAUUCUUUUUGAUGAUGUGAGCACGCUUUCCCCAAUUGAGCUGCAAACGUUCCACAAGAUCUGCUAAGAGACGGGGAAAGGAAUCUAUCAGCUGCCAGAAUGUUAUGUGCUCAUGUCUUUGUUCUUGAGCUAGAGUUUAUAUCAUCAUUGAACAUAGUCAAGCAAAAGUUAUACCAAAAAGGUAGAAAUCCAAGCUGCUAAUUGCAAGGUAUUCAUAAAUGAGCAUUUUUUCCUCUCUUUCCCCGCAAAAUCCCAGCACCUUAACCAAGUUUACAUGCUGAAGUUUUGCAGUGAGCAUAACUUCAUUCUUGAACUGCUCAAAUCCUUACCUUGAAGCUUUUGAAAGUCUCUUUACUGCUAUUUGUCUUUAAUUUACCCUGGAGAAAUAGAUAUAUGUAUUUUUUAAGUGGUGAGGGAAAUGUACUUGGUAUUGGUUUUGAAGGAUACCUUAUAAACCGGUCCACCCUCUCCAAGCUUCUUGUAAAAUGAAAAAUUAGUUGUGGCUGCUGUAAUUUCUUUGAAACUGAAUACCUUCAUGUCAGGUGAAUCAUAACUGAAAUUUUGUGUGUC